UACGUAGGUGGCAAGCGUUGUCCGGAUUUACUGGGCGUAAAGCGGGUGUAGGUGGUUGUCCAAGUUGGAUGUGAAAGCCUUGAGCUCAACUCAAGAAAUGCAUUCAGGACUGGAUGGCUAGAGGACCGGAGAGGAUAGUGGAAUUCCCAGUGUAGUGGUGAAAUACGUAGAGAUUGGGAAGAACACCAGUGGCGAAGGCGGCUAUCUGGACGGUUUCUGACACUAAGACUCGAAAGCGUGGGGAGCAAACAGG
RNAcentral lists this ribosomal RNA (253 nucleotides) under uncultured bacterium. RNAcentral describes it as "partial 16S ribosomal RNA". It matches the Rfam family "Bacterial small subunit ribosomal RNA", at positions 524 to 776 of the family's 1533-position model. The record is from RNAcentral.